AGCAGCCGCGGUAAUUCCAGCUCCAAUAGCGUAUAUUAAAGUUGUUGCAGUUAAAAAGCUCGUAGUUGAAUUUCGGGAUCAGUUUGUUGGUCGUGCUUCGGUACGUACUGUCAUUACUGGUUUCUCCCUUCUGAAGAACCUUGAUGUCAUUAAUUUGGUGUCUUGGGGAAUCAGGACUGUUACUUUGAAAAAAUUAGAGUGUUUAAAGCAGGCAUACGCUUGAAUACAUUAGCAUGGAAUAAUGAAAUAGGACGUUUGAUUCUAUUUUGUUGGUUUCUAGGAUCGACGUAAUGAUUAAUAGGGAUAGUUGGGGGCAUUAGUAUUCAAUUGUCAGAGGUGAAAUUCUUGGAUUUAUUGAAGACUAACUACUGCGAAAGCAUUUGCCAAGGAUGUUUUCAUUAAUCAAGAACGAAAGUUAGGGGAUCGAAGACGAUCAGAUACCGUCGUAGU
Molecule: ribosomal RNA, 450 nt
Filed under: uncultured Glomeromycotina
Lineage: Eukaryota; Fungi; Glomeromycota
Description: SSU rRNA
Rfam family: Eukaryotic small subunit ribosomal RNA
Source: RNAcentral